This 497-nucleotide ribosomal RNA is filed under the name uncultured bacterium. Its description in RNAcentral is "partial 16S ribosomal RNA". It matches the Rfam family "Bacterial small subunit ribosomal RNA", at positions 28 to 507 of the family's 1533-position model. The record is from RNAcentral.
GAUGAACGCUGGCGGCGUGCCUAAUACAUGCAAGUCGAGCGAACGGACGAGAAGCUUGCUUCUCUGAUGUUAGCGGCGGACGGGUGAGUAACACGUGGAUAACCUACCUAUAAGACUGGGAUAACUUCGGGAAACCGGAGCUAAUACCGGAUAAUAUUUUGAACCGCAUGGUUCAAAAGUGAAAGACGGUCUUGCUGUCACUUAUAGAUGGAUCCGCGCUGCAUUAGCUAGUUGGUAAGGUAACGGCUUACCAAGGCAACGAUGCAUAGCCGACCUGAGAGGGUGAUCGGCCACACGGGAACUGAGACACGGUCCAGACUCCUACGGGAGGCAGCAGUAGGGAAUCGUCCGCAAUGGGCGAAAGCCUGACGGAGCAACGCCGCGUGAGUGAUGAAGGUCUUCGGAUCGUAAAACUCUGUUAUUAGGGAAGAACAUAUGUGUAAGUAACUGUGCACAUCUUGACGGUACCUAAUCAGAAAGCCACGGCUAACUACGUG